Molecule: ribosomal RNA, 253 nt
Filed under: uncultured bacterium
Lineage: Bacteria
Description: partial 16S ribosomal RNA
Rfam family: Bacterial small subunit ribosomal RNA
Source: RNAcentral
UACGGGGGGGGCAAGCGUUGUUCGGAAUUACUGGGCGUAAAGGGCUCGUAGGCGGCCAACUAAGUCCGACGUGAAAUCCCCAGGCUUAACCUGGGAACUGCGUCGGAUACUGGAUGGCUUGAAUUCGGGAGAGGGAUGCAGAAUUCCAGGUGUAGCGGUGAAAUGCGUAGAUAUCUGGAGGAACACCGGUGGCGAAGGCGGCAUCCUGGACCGAGAUUGACGCUGAGGCGCGAAAGCCAGGGGAGCAAACGGG